RNAcentral lists this transfer RNA (65 nucleotides) under Orophyllus montanus. Its description in RNAcentral is "tRNA-Tyr". Lineage: Eukaryota; Metazoa; Arthropoda; Insecta; Orthoptera; Tettigoniidae. The record is from RNAcentral.
GGUAGGAUGGCUGAGCAUAGGCGGUAAACUGUAAAUUUAUUAAGGAGAGGAUAUCUCUUCUACCA